Non-coding RNA from Monodelphis domestica (gray short-tailed opossum), 1375 nucleotides. Lineage: Eukaryota; Metazoa; Chordata; Mammalia; Didelphimorphia; Didelphidae. The record is from RefSeq and is a predicted model, not a curated record.
CAUGACUCUCCUUAGCCAUGGUAGAGUUACUCAUGAGCACUGGGGAAAGAAUAUACCUCUAUAUUUAGAGUAGAUUGGUCUGAGCCAAAUAUAAGAGAGAAUGUGGGAAAGGAUGUGAAGAGGGAGAAAAAUAUAGUUGUUAAUAUUUGGUUUGUUCAUUUCUAGAGAGACAGUUUGGUAAAUACAAUGCCCACAUUUGUAAUAGCUCUGUUUGUAAUUAUACAUAGGGGUGUGUUGAAAAGGAAUCAACCUAAGAGCUGAAGGAAGCUGAAAACUGGCUGAUUUUUCAUGUGGGGCAUUUUCUGACUUUGCUGAAUGUCUUCUUGCUGAAGAAAUGUCUGGCAGCAAAAAAAGCAUCAGCACCUAUAUGUAAAGAUCACUUUAAUCUGAGUUUGCUACUGGAUAUAAACACAGCGACUGAAUGAGCUUUCAGAGGAAUUACCUUUUGCUACUUGCAAAUGAGAAAGGAAGAAAGGAUAAGUUGUGUGUGUGUUAAACCAAAUAAGAAGAAUCCAGGAUCACAACUUAUAAAUUUGGGAGAUGAGGAAACUGAAGCAAACAGGAGUAAAUGACUUACACAGGAUCACCACCAAACCAUAUUAUUUCAUCAUAUUCAUUUACCAUGACUUCAGCCAUUCCUCAACUGCUGGGCAUCCUCUUACUUUUUAGGUUUUGCCACUACAAAAAAGAGCUGGUAUAAAUAUAUAUUUUUUUGCCUAAAUCUUUUUUACAGUAUGUCCUUGUAAAUGACCUUCAGAGAAAUACACACAGGAAAUAGAUGAAUGAAAAUGGCCUGUUGAACGGGAGCAUACAAGUUGUGAGAUUUGAUUAAAAGAUCCUGAUCACAUUUCUCAAACUGAUGGAAAAUCUGACAUCUCCCACAAAGGGGGCAGAGUUGCCAGGAAUAAUAAACUGGAAGAAUUCCAUGGAGACUGGAACAACCUCCAGGAAGUGAUGCAGACGAAAGGAGCAGAACCAGGAAAACAUUGUAUACAGAGACUGACACACUGUAGUACAAUCGAAUGUAAUGGACUUCUCCAUUAGUGGCAAUGCAAUGUCCCUGAACAAUCUGCAGGGAUCUAGGAGAAAAAACACUAGCCACAAGCAGAGGACAAACUGUGGGAGUAAAAACAUGGAAGAAAAGCAACUGCUUGACUACAAGGGUUGAGGGGACAUGUCUGAGGAGAGACUCUAAAUGAACACUAAUGCAAAUACCAACAACAUGGAAAUGGGUUUGAAUCAAGAAUACAUGUGAUACCCAGUGGAAUCACGCAUCAGCUAUGGGAUGGGGGGGUGUGGGGAGGAAGAAAAUGAUCUUUGUUUCCAAUGAAUAAUGCUCGGAAAUGACCAAAUAAAAUAAUGUUAUUUUAAAAAA